CCUACGGGCGGCAGCAGUGGGGGAUAUUGCACAAUGGGGGAAACCCUGAUGCAGCGACGCCGCGUGGGCGAAGAAGUAUUUCGGUAUGUAAAGCCCUAUCAGCAGGGAAGAAAAAAUGACGGUACCUGAGUAAGUAGCACUGGCUAAAUACGUGCCAGCAGCCGCGGUAAUACGUAUGGUGCAAGCGUUAUCCGGAUUUACUGGGUGUAAAGGGAGCGCAGGCGGCACGGCAAGCCUGAUGUGAAAGCCCGCGGCGCAACCGCGGGACUGCAUUGGGAACUACCGGGCUGGAGUGCCGGAGAGGUAGGCGGAAUUCCUAGUGUAGCGGUGAAAUGCGUAGAUAUUAGGAAGAACACCAGUGGCGAAGGCAGCCUACUGGACGGUGACUGACGCUGAGGCUCGAAAGCGUGGGGAGCAAACAGGAUUAGAUACCCUUGUAGUC
RNAcentral lists this ribosomal RNA (442 nucleotides) under uncultured bacterium. Its description in RNAcentral is "partial 16S ribosomal RNA". It matches the Rfam family "Bacterial small subunit ribosomal RNA", at positions 338 to 795 of the family's 1533-position model. The record is from RNAcentral.